RNAcentral lists this ribosomal RNA (406 nucleotides) under uncultured bacterium. RNAcentral's name for it is "partial 16S ribosomal RNA". It matches the Rfam family "Bacterial small subunit ribosomal RNA", at positions 30 to 526 of the family's 1533-position model. The record is from RNAcentral.
AUUGAACGCUGGCGGCAGGCCUAACACAUGCAAGUCGAGCGAGCGGCGGACGGGUGAGUAAUGUAUGGGGAUCUGCCCGAUAGAGGGGGAUAACUACUGGAAACGGUGGCUAAUACCGCAUACUAUCGGAUGUACCCAGAUGGGAUUAGCUAGUAGGUGGGGUAAAGGCUCACCUAGGCGACGAUCCCUAGCUGGUCUGAGAGGAUGAACAGCCACACUGGAACUGAGACACGGGCCAGACUCCUACGGGAGGCAGCAGUGGGGAAUAUUGCACAAUGGGCGAAAGCCUGAUGCAGCCAUGCCGCGUGUAUGAAGAAGGCCUUAGGGUUGUAAAGUACUUUCAGCCGGGAGGCGUUACCGACAGAAGAAGCACCGGCUAACUCCGUGCCAGCAGCCGCGGUAAUUC